Molecule: non-coding RNA, 136 nt
Organism: Hordeum vulgare subsp. vulgare (domesticated barley)
Lineage: Eukaryota; Viridiplantae; Streptophyta; Magnoliopsida; Poales; Poaceae
Source: Rfam
UUCUUACUCCCUCCGUUCCAAAAUUCUUGUCUUAAAUUUGUCUAGAUAUAAAUGUAUCUAGUCACAUUUUAGUAUUUAGAUAAAUCCAUUUCUAGACAAACCUAAGACAAAAAAUUUAGAACGGAGGGAGCAUUUG